CACGUAGGGCGCAAGCGUUGUCCGGAAUUAUUGGGCGUAAAGAGCUCGUAGGCGGUCUGUUGCGUCCGCUGUGAAAACCCGGGGCUCAACCCCGGGCCUGCACCCGAUACUGGCGAGCUGGAGGCAGGUAGGGGAGAUCGGAAUUCCCGGUGUAGCGGUGAAAUGCGCAGAUAUCGGGAGGAACACCGGUGGCGAAGGCGGAUCUCUGGGCCUGUCCUGACGCUCAGGCGCGAAAGCUAGGGGAGCAAACAGG
Molecule: ribosomal RNA, 253 nt
Filed under: uncultured bacterium
Lineage: Bacteria
Description: partial 16S ribosomal RNA
Rfam family: Bacterial small subunit ribosomal RNA
Source: RNAcentral